Molecule: ribosomal RNA, 471 nt
Filed under: uncultured bacterium
Lineage: Bacteria
Description: bacterial SSU rRNA
Rfam family: Bacterial small subunit ribosomal RNA
Source: RNAcentral
CGAACGAGAAAGUGAUCUUCGGAUCGCGAGUAAAGUGGCGAACGGGUGAGUAGCGCGUGGGUAAUCUGCCCUUGAGUCCGGAAUAACAUUCCUAACGGGAUGCUAAUACCGAAUAAUACCAUUGUGUUGCAUAGCGCGAUGGUCAAAGAUGGCCUCUACUUGUAAGCUAUCGCUUAAGGAUGAGCCCGCGUUUCAUUAGCUUGUUGGUGAGGUAAAAGCUCACCAAGGCAGCGAUGAAUAGCCGGCCUGAGAGGGUGUCCGGCCACACUGGGACUGAGAUACGGCCCAGACUCCUACGGGAGGCAGCAGUAGGGAAUAUUGCGCAAUGGGGGAAACCCUGACGCAGCAACGCCGCGUGGGUGAUGAAGCUCCUUGGAGCGUAAAACCCUGUCAGGAGGGAAGAAACUAUUAUCGGACCAACACUCCGAUAACGUGACGGUACCUCCAGAGGAAGCUCCGGCCAACUCCGUG